This 23-nucleotide ribosomal RNA is filed under the name Goodenia pascua. RNAcentral's name for it is "partial 25S large subunit ribosomal RNA". Lineage: Eukaryota; Viridiplantae; Streptophyta; Magnoliopsida; Asterales; Goodeniaceae. The record is from RNAcentral.
GCGACCCCAGGUCAAGCGGGACU